AGAACGACUCUCGGCAACGGAUAUCUCGGCUCUCGCAUCGAUGAAGAACGUAGCAAAAUGCGAUACUUGGUGUGAAUUGCAGAAUCCCGCGAACCAUCGAGUUUUUGAACGCAAGUUGCGCCCGAGGCCAAUGGUUGAGGGCACGUCUGCCUGGGCGUCUCGC
RNAcentral lists this ribosomal RNA (163 nucleotides) under Impatiens sp. SR-2013k. RNAcentral's name for it is "5.8S ribosomal RNA". It matches the Rfam family "5.8S ribosomal RNA". From Rfam's summary of the family: 5.8S ribosomal RNA (5.8S rRNA) is a component of the large subunit of the eukaryotic ribosome. It is transcribed by RNA polymerase I as part of the 45S precursor that also contains 18S and 28S rRNA. Lineage: Eukaryota; Viridiplantae; Streptophyta; Magnoliopsida; Ericales; Balsaminaceae. The record is from RNAcentral.